ACCUGAGCCCAGUUUACUAUAGGACUUAGCAGAGAGGGCUGCGCUCUAUCACUUGGUUUCCUUCCUUUCAACGAUCACAGCUUCCGUGGAGAUGUUCCAGGCUGGUUUAAGAUUUAGGGAAGGAGCUCAGUGGUUCCUCCUAAUUGUGAGAGGGAUAAACAUGUCACAUCACAGAAAGGAAGUAUUGUGAAGAAGCAGGCAAAGACUCUGAAUAAUCAGAUUUACUUUCUUUUCCUGCAUUGUGCUGUUUAAGACUGCUAAAUGAAGAUAAAUUCUAUUGCAGAAUCCUGAAUUUCACCAUGAAGAGACUGUCGCCCAGCCUUCUCAUCUAGAGAAUUAUUCUCAGGAUCUGCAGACAGGAGGUUCUGAACCUGAAUAUCUCCUGAUACUUAUAAUGGCAUCAUGGCCUCCUAUUUUCAGGGGGAAAACUCAUCUAAUACUUAAAUUGUAGUUUUUAGUGCAUGGAUCUCUGAAUAUCAGAAGAUUGCCUUCAAAAUGUUAUUUAGAUGCAUCUUAUGAAAUGGAUAUAUUCUAGGACUAUGUCAGUGUAGUACAAUCUGCUAAAGUAAGUUCUGCAUCACAAUGGCUUUUGGAAAUGUUGAGAUGUGUUCCUGGGAUAUUAGUUUGACUUCCAGAAAAAAAAUUCUCAUUGAAAAGGUUUUCUCCCCACCUAUGAGGAGCUCCAUUCUUUCUUUUAAAUUGACCAGACAUCCUGCCAGUUUGUGUAAGUGUGUGCUUGUGAACCCAUGUGCUUUUAUGUGCAUACGUGAGCUCAGGGGUAGAGCAAGUCAGAGGGAGUGUUGGCAGGAGACAAUAUGGAAAAUGGAAAAUCAUGGCAGACUUCUUUGUGUGCCAAGUUUGAAUAUGAAACCUAUUGCUCCUGAUGAAAACAAAACCAAAAUAAAAUGCUGUGGGUGAAAUAAUUUCUGACAAUGUAGCUACACUCAUAGAUUGUGUAAAAGAAUAGAAAAUUGCAGCUGCCAGUUGUGAAUCGAGUCUUUGGAUUUUUUUUCCCCAUUUUCGUGUGUCACAUAAUACCCCUUAUUUCUGCGUAUCUGAGGGCUAAUAGUAUAAAAUGCUUACCAAUCUGACUCUAUUUUCCUCUUUUUAAUAAAAUUUGGAAUAAAAUUUAUGAUCAUAACAAA
RNAcentral lists this long non-coding RNA (1145 nucleotides) under Equus asinus (donkey). RNAcentral describes it as "lncRNA (ENSEASG00005026505.1)". The record is from RNAcentral. Lineage: Eukaryota; Metazoa; Chordata; Mammalia; Perissodactyla; Equidae.